CCUACGGGAGGCAGCAGUGGGGAAUAUUGGACAAUGGGCGCAAGCCUGAUCCAGCCAUGCCGCGUGAGUGAUGAAGGCCCUAGGGUUGUAAAGCUCUUUUGUGCGGGAAGAUAAUGACGGUACCGCAAGAAUAAGCCCCGGCUAACUCCGUGCCAGCAGCCGCGGUAAU
Molecule: ribosomal RNA, 169 nt
Filed under: uncultured marine bacterium
Lineage: Bacteria
Description: partial 16S ribosomal RNA
Rfam family: Bacterial small subunit ribosomal RNA
Source: RNAcentral